This 1341-nucleotide ribosomal RNA is filed under the name uncultured bacterium. Its description in RNAcentral is "partial 16S ribosomal RNA". It matches the Rfam family "Bacterial small subunit ribosomal RNA", at positions 28 to 1381 of the family's 1533-position model. The record is from RNAcentral.
GACGAACGCUGGCGGCGUGCUUAACACAUGCAAGUCGAACGGUAAGGCUCCAGCUUGCUGGGGUACACGAGUGGCGAACGGGUGAGUAACACGUGGGUGACCUGCCCUGCACUUCGGGAUAAGCCUGGGAAACUGGGUCUAAUACCGGAUAGGACUGCACCGUGAGGGUGUGGUGGAAAGUUUUUUCGGUGUGGGAUGGGCCCGCGGCCUAUCAGCUUGUUGGUGGGGUAAUGGCCUACCAAGGCGGCGACGGGUAGCCGGCCUGAGAGGGUGGACGGCCACAUUGGGACUGAGACACGGCCCAGACUCCUACGCGAGGCAGCAGUGGGGAAUAUUGCACAAUGGGCGGAAGCCUGAUGCAGCGACGCCGCGUGGGGGAUGACGGCCUUCGGGUUGUAAACUCCUUUCACCAUCGACGAAGGGUUUCUGACGGUAGAUGGAGAAGAAGCACCGGCUAACUACGUGCCAGCAGCCGCGGUAAUACGUAGGGUGCGAGCGUUGUCCGGAAUUACUGGGCGUAAAGAGCUCGUAGGUGGUUUGUCGCGUCGUCUGUGAAAUUCCGGGGCUUAACUCCGGGCGUGCAGGCGAUACGGGCAUAACUUGAGUACUGUAGGGGAGACUGGAAUUCCUGGUGUAGCGGUGAAAUGCGCAGAUAUCAGGAGGAACACCGGUGGCGAAGGCGGGUCUCUGGGCAGUAACUGACGCUGAGGAGCGAAAGCAUGGGGAGCGAACAGGAUUAGAUACCCUGGUAGUCCAUGCCGUAAACGGUGGGCGCUAGGUGUGGGUUUCCUUCCACGGGAUCCGUGCCGUAGCUAACGCAUUAAGCGCCCCGCCUGGGGAGUACGGCCGCAAGGCUAAAACUCAAAGGAAUUGACGGGGGCCCGCACAAGCGGCGGAGCAUGUGGAUUAAUUCGAUGCAACGCGAAGAACCUUACCUGGGCUUGACAUAUACAGGAUCGCGCCAGAGAUGGUGUUUCCCUUGUGGCUUGUAUACAGGUGGUGCAUGGUUGUCGUCAGCUCGUGUCGUGAGAUGUUGGGUUAAGUCCCGCAACGAGCGCAACCCUUGUCUUAUGUUGCCAGCACGUUGUGGUGAGGACUCGUAAGAAACUGCCGGGGUUAACUCGGAGGAAGGUGGGGAUGACGUCAAAUCAUCAUGCCCCUUAUGUCCAGGGCUUCACACAUGCUACAAUGGUCGGUACAGUGGGUUGCCAGUCCGUGAGGGCGAGCUAAUCCCGCAAAGCCGGUCUCAGUUCGGAUCGGGGUCUGCAACUCGACCCCGUGAAGUCGGAGUCGCUAGUAAUCGCAGAUCAGCAACGCUGCGGUGAAUACGUUCCCGGGCCU